This 253-nucleotide ribosomal RNA is filed under the name uncultured prokaryote. RNAcentral describes it as "partial 16S ribosomal RNA". It matches the Rfam family "Bacterial small subunit ribosomal RNA", at positions 525 to 777 of the family's 1533-position model. The record is from RNAcentral.
ACGUAGGAGGCGAGCGUUGUUCGGAAUUACUGGGCGUAAAGCGUCCGUAGGCGGGUCUGUAAGUGGGUAGUUAAAUCCCGGGGCUCAACCCCGUGGGUGCUGCCCGGACUGCAGAUCUGGAGGUCGGCAGAGGGUGAUGGAAUUCCCGGUGUAGCGGUGAAAUGCGUAGAUAUCUGGAGGAACACCGGUGGCGAAGGCGGCAUCCUGGACCGAGAUUGACGCUGAGGCGCGAAAGCUAGGGUGGCAAACGGGA